GACGAACGCUGGCGGCGUGCUUAACACAUGCAAGUCGAACGGUGAAGCGCCUUCCUUUUUGGUGGGUGUGGAUGAGUGGCGAACGGGUGAGUAACACGUGAGUAACCUGCCCCCUUCUUCUGGAUAACCGCAUGAAAGUGUGGCUAAUACGGGAUAUUCUGGGUCUGUCGCAUGAUGGGUCUGGGAAAGAUAUUGUUUCGGUGGGGGAUGGGCUCGCGGCCUAUCAGCUUGUUGGUGGGGUGAUGGCCUACCAAGGCGGUGACGGGUAGCCGGCCUGAGAGGGUGGACGGUCACACUGGGACUGAGACACGGCCCAGACUACUACGGGAGGCAGCAGUGGGGAAUAUUGCACAAUGGGAGCAAGCCUGAUGCAGCGACGCCGCGUGAGGGAUGGAGGCCGUCGGGUUGUAAACCUCUUUCGCCAGUGAAGCAGGCCUGCCUCGUUUGUGGGUGGGUUGACGGUAGCUGGAUAAGAAGCGCCGGCUAACUACGUG
This 494-nucleotide ribosomal RNA is filed under the name uncultured bacterium. RNAcentral describes it as "partial 16S ribosomal RNA". It matches the Rfam family "Bacterial small subunit ribosomal RNA", at positions 28 to 507 of the family's 1533-position model. The record is from RNAcentral.